GACGAACGCUGGCGGCGUGCUUAACACAUGCAAGUCGAACGGAAAGGCCCUGCUUUUGUGGGGUGCUCGAGUGGCGAACGGGUGAGUAACACGUGAGUAACCUGCCCUUGACUUUGGGAUAACUUCAGGAAACUGGGGCUAAUACCGGAUAGGAGCUCCUGCUGCAUGGUGGGGGUUGGAAAGUUUCGGCGGUUGGGGAUGGACUCGCGGCUUAUCAGCUUGUUGGUGGGGUAGUGGCUUACCAAGGCUUUGACGGGUAGCCGGCCUGAGAGGGUGACCGGCCACAUUGGGACUGAGAUACGGCCCAGACUCGUAAGGGAGGCAGCAGUGGGGAAUAUUGCACAAUGGGCGGAAGCCUGAUGCAGCAACGCCGCGUGCGGGAUGACGGCCUUCGGGUUGUAAACCGCUUUCGCCUGUGACGAAGCGUGAGUGACGGUAAUGGGUAAAGAAGCACCGGCUAACUACGUG
RNAcentral lists this ribosomal RNA (468 nucleotides) under uncultured bacterium. RNAcentral's name for it is "partial 16S ribosomal RNA". It matches the Rfam family "Bacterial small subunit ribosomal RNA", at positions 28 to 507 of the family's 1533-position model. The record is from RNAcentral.